Molecule: ribosomal RNA, 85 nt
Filed under: Castor canadensis (American beaver)
Lineage: Eukaryota; Metazoa; Chordata; Mammalia; Rodentia; Castoridae
Source: RNAcentral
GUCUAAGGCCAUAUCAUCUUGAACGUGUCCAGUCUCGUCUGAUCUCAGAAGCUAAGCAGGGUUGGGCCUGCUCAGUGCUUGGAAG